AUAUAUUUCGAUCUCCACGCUAAACAUAAACAAAACCCUAAUGAGAGACAAACAAACCAAUACUAAAGGAAUAGAGAGAAUUCAGGUAAUCCUUCAAUUCUACUCCGUCUAUUCUUUCUACUUUAUUGCUUCUCUGCCAUUUUUGUCGGGGAUUAAUCACGUUUGAUUCAAUCCCUCUCACUGAUUUUUCUUCUGAUCAUUUUAAUAAUUUUUGAUUUCUUGCAAAGUAAUUACCCAGUUAUUGGGUUAUUGAUUAUCUAAUCCAAUUUUGUUGGUGUUCUAAAAUUUCGGUUUCUGGGUUUUGUUGUUUUGGUGAUAUUUGUGAUUUUACAAAUUGUGAUUCUAUUCCAUGGAUCAUAACUCUCGUGAUUUAGUGGUAAGUAUUAUGGCCAUCUUUUAUGUUUCCCAUAAUUGGUUUCCUUAUCAGGUUAUGCAAAUUGAAUGUGGAAGAGGGCAACUUUUGUGUUUUUUAAUUGCUUAUGUAAACUUGAGAAUUCUUAAAGCUAUAGCAAAGUAAAUUGAUAUUGAUAUAAUAUUUUCAUUGUCAAAUUUCUGGAAUUGCUGGACAUAAAAACUUAAAUGAAUCAAAAAGGGGAAUUCAGGCUGAUUACAUUUAAAAACAGAAGAAAAAAAAAGAGAAGAAGCUAGCUAUACAUUUAGUUAUACUCUACUAAACAUUUAAUCAAAUUGAGUCAUACAAGUAUGCAUAAAGAAAGCAUCCAUCACAUUUAUAGUACUAAAGUAAAGAACCACUUCAACAUGCUAUUUUUUAGAGAUGUUCAUCUGCAUCGAACUGCCAAAUCCCACUACUUUUGAGAAAAUUUGUGUCAAGUAAACCACCCAGGUCGAGGGUCUCAAAAACAUGCAACUAAAUUACAAUUCAUGAGUUCUGAAUCAUGACAAACAAAAUCCCAGCAUUUCUUAAGAAAACUAAGGGCCUUAUAGUUAGGUGAUGUGAUGGAGACCAAAGAGAUGAAGAUUCUAUUGAUAUUUCUAAUGGAUUUAUCUUGUGAUUAUAUUUGUGCUAUUUAUUUUAUCAGGUACUUAUUAUUAAAUAUUUUAAUGUAGGGAAAGUUGUAGGAAAAGUGGUAAGAAGUUAUUUUAGCAGUAGGAAGUUACUAAAGUGGUAGGAAGCUAAGAACCAGGGAUUCGUCCUGGAGUUGACUAAUUGCUGAAGUAGUUCACUGGGAUUUGCUAUUCCUAGAUUCGUCAAGAUUCACAUAUUCACAUAUUCCUAGAUUCGUCAAGAUUCACAUAUGCCUAGAUUUGCCUGAAGGAUUCGGUCAACAAGAAUCGUGCGAAUCUUGACCAAAAUAUCAUCACCGUUCGAGUUUGCUAGGUUGAGAUACGCUGCUUGUUUCGAUGGGAGUUACAGGAAGGGCAAUGUGGGUAAUUUUGCAAAAACAAAAAAAAACAAAAAUAAAUGGUAAACACUUACCUGCAUGAUCUGAAGCCCUAAUUGCAUCCACGACACGACCUUUGACUCCCUUUGAUGUUGUCUGGCUUCAAUGAUACGUUCACUCCUCCUCUCUCUUCUUAUUAUUCCUUUUCCCUCCUCCAUCUCCCUUCUCUUUCGUUCUCUGUUCUCUCUUUGCUGUGAGUGGCUGGUUUUUGUUGUUUGAUAGUAGUAGUUAUGUACUGCAAUCGUUUCUAUUCUAUUAUACAUUAUUACCGACUUUAAUGUUAAUACCAUAUUUUGGGUCCCUAAUUGGCUGACUGGUGAUGAUAUUUAAUGUUCAAAUACCCCAUGAAAUAUUUUAUAGUUGUAAUUUGCUUACUCUUUAUUAUAUUUAAUGUUUAAUACUUUAAUGGGCCAAUAUUUAUUAUUAGAAUAGGCUGAU
This 1841-nucleotide long non-coding RNA is filed under the name Panax ginseng (ginseng). RNAcentral's name for it is "long non-coding RNA (PGIN_LNC002936)". Lineage: Eukaryota; Viridiplantae; Streptophyta; Magnoliopsida; Apiales; Araliaceae. The record is from RNAcentral.